GCCCAAAUGGCGUAAUGGGUAGACGCGCUGGACUCAAAAUCCAGUGGUCAUUGUGACCGUGCGGGUUCGAAUCCCGCUUUGGGCA
RNAcentral lists this transfer RNA (85 nucleotides) under Candidatus Walczuchella monophlebidarum. RNAcentral describes it as "tRNA-Leu (CAA) (tRNA-Leu-CAA-1-1)". It matches the Rfam family "tRNA". From Rfam's summary of the family: Transfer RNA (tRNA) molecules are approximately 80 nucleotides in length. Their secondary structure includes four short double-helical elements and three loops (D, anti-codon, and T loops). Further hydrogen bonds mediate the characteristic L-shaped molecular structure. tRNAs have two regions of fundamental functional importance: the anti-codon, which is responsible for specific mRNA codon recognition, and the 3' end, to which the tRNAs corresponding amino acid is attached (by aminoacyl-tRNA synthetases). tRNAs cope with the degeneracy of the genetic code in two manners: having more than one tRNA (with a specific anti-codon) for a particular amino acid; and 'wobble' base-pairing, i.e. permitting non-standard base-pairing at the 3rd anti-codon position. Lineage: Bacteria; Pseudomonadati; Bacteroidota; Flavobacteriia; Flavobacteriales. The record is from Rfam by way of RNAcentral.